CAGUAGCCGCGGGAAUACAGAGGGUGCGAGCGUUAAUCGGAUUUACUGGGCGUAAAGCGUGCGUAGGCGGCUUUUUAAAUCGGAUGUGAAAUCCCUGAGCUUAACUUAGGAAUUGCAUUCGAUACUGGGAAGCUAGAGUAUGGGAGAGGAUGGUAGAAUUCCAGGUGUAGCGGUGAAAUGCGUAGAGAUCUGGAGGAAUACCGAUGGCGAAGGCAGCCAUCUGGCCUAAUACUGACGCUGAGGUACGAAAGCAUGGGGAGCAAACAGGAUUAGAUACCCCAGUAGUCCCUGUCUCUUAUAC
RNAcentral lists this ribosomal RNA (301 nucleotides) under uncultured bacterium. Its description in RNAcentral is "partial 16S ribosomal RNA". It matches the Rfam family "Bacterial small subunit ribosomal RNA", at positions 509 to 807 of the family's 1533-position model. The record is from RNAcentral.